CGGGGAGUGGCUCAAUGGUAGAGCGCUCGCUUGGGGUGCGAGAGACUCCGGGUUCAAUUCCCGGCUCCCCGA
This 72-nucleotide transfer RNA is filed under the name Elusimicrobiota bacterium. Its description in RNAcentral is "Elusimicrobia bacterium (anaerobic digester metagenome) tRNA-Pro". It matches the Rfam family "tRNA". From Rfam's summary of the family: Transfer RNA (tRNA) molecules are approximately 80 nucleotides in length. The record is from RNAcentral. Lineage: Bacteria; Pseudomonadati; Elusimicrobiota.